RNAcentral lists this ribosomal RNA (804 nucleotides) under uncultured bacterium. Its description in RNAcentral is "bacterial SSU rRNA". It matches the Rfam family "Bacterial small subunit ribosomal RNA", at positions 195 to 1015 of the family's 1533-position model. The record is from RNAcentral.
UGCGGAUCAAACGGGCAACUGGCUUCAGGAGGGGGUCGCGGCUGAUUAGCUAGUUGGUAGGGUAACGGCCUACCAAGGCGGUGAUCAGUAGCCGGCCUGAGAGGGCGCACGGCCACACUGGAACUGAAACACGGUCCAGACUCCUACGGGAGGCAGCAGUGGGGAAUUUUGCGCAAUGGGGGAAACCCUGACGCAGCAACGCCGCGUGGAGGAUGAAGUCCCUUGGGACGUAAACUCCUUUCGACCGGGACGAUAAUGACGGUACCGGUGGAAGAAGCCCCGGCUAACUCCGUGCCAGCAGCCGCGGUAAUACGGGGGGGGCAAGCGUUGUUCGGAAUUAUUGGGCGUAAAGGGCGCGUAGGCGGUGCGGUAAGUCUUCUGUGAAACCUCUGGGCUUAACUCAGAGCCUGCAGGGGAAACUGCCGUGCUGGAGUGUGGGAGAGGUGAGUGGAAUUCCCGGUGUAGCGGUGAAAUGCGUAGAUCUCGGGAGGAACACCAGUGGCGAAGGCGGCUCACUGGACCACAACUGACGCUGAGGCGCGAAAGCUAGGGGAGCAAACAGGAUUAGAUACCCUGGUAGUCCUAGCCUUAAACGAUGAAUGCUUGGUGUGAUCGGUACCCAAUCCGAUUGUGCCGCAGCUAACGCGAUAAGCAUUCCGCCUGGGGAGUACGGUCGCAAGGCUCAAACUCAGAGGAAUUGACGGGGGCCCGCACAAGCGGUGGAGCAUGUGGUUCAAUUCGACGCAACGCGGAGAACCUUACCUGGGCUCCAAGCGCAAUGGACCGGGGUGGAAACAUCCCUUU